AUAGAGCUAAAAUUCACCAUCUAAGCACUAAGACUUUACAGUUAAAACUUAAAGGACAUGGCGACGGUAUUUACUCAGGGGAACUUACCAGGUAAAUGAUAAUCCACAAGGAACCGUGCUAAUUUUUAAAGUAUGUAUACCGCCGUCAUGAACUUACCUUAGGUAAGUUCAAAUAGUUAUGUAACUAAAGGACAGGUCAUGGUGCAGCCUAUAAAUUAGUCUCAGGCGAGUUACAUUAUUUCCUUUUUAUUCGUUACCUAUUUCAAAUGAAAUAGGAGAAGCCGGACUUGAAAGUAAAUAGGAAAAGAAAUACUUAUUGAAUAACCUUUUACCGUGC
RNAcentral lists this ribosomal RNA (337 nucleotides) under Siphonaria sp. UF 301195. Its description in RNAcentral is "partial 12S ribosomal RNA". Lineage: Eukaryota; Metazoa; Mollusca; Gastropoda; Siphonariida; Siphonariidae. The record is from RNAcentral.